AUGGCUUCGUGCUCAUCUAUCAAAAUGUCCCACAAGCAAUUCUCCUUUCAUGAUGUGGGGUGGGAAGGUGCCCCAAAGGCUAGGUUCUUGUGCUUCCUACCCUUUCAAGGGAAUCAAGCUACUUGACGGUUAGCCUCCAUUUGGUUCCUUUUGAUGGGCACAGGAGGACAGCAAAGCACCCCCCAUGUUCUACCGAGCCUUCAUCAGUCGCGUGGCCCGUAGGGACGUGUGAUUCUCUUAGACCCAGUACAUGCCACGGACGAGGACUCCGUCCAAGUCCUACCAGAAAGCUUCAAUAUAAUGUAUGACAGACGCUCUCGCCCCAUGACCACCUUGAUGGUGCAAGGGUGACGAGCGGAGGAUUGCUUCCGUGGUUGAUUCCUGCCAUCUUCAUAUGCUUGUCUC
Molecule: unclassified non-coding RNA, 405 nt
Filed under: Lysiloma watsonii
Lineage: Eukaryota; Viridiplantae; Streptophyta; Magnoliopsida; Fabales; Fabaceae
Description: partial contains external transcribed spacer and small subunit ribosomal RNA
Source: RNAcentral